RNAcentral lists this ribosomal RNA (239 nucleotides) under uncultured bacterium. RNAcentral describes it as "partial 16S ribosomal RNA". It matches the Rfam family "Bacterial small subunit ribosomal RNA", at positions 91 to 334 of the family's 1533-position model. The record is from RNAcentral.
UCGAGCGGCGAACGGGUGAGUAACGCGUGGAUAACCUGCCCAGAGGUGGGGGAUAACCCGGGGAAACUCGGGCUAAUACCGCAUAUGACCGUGAGGUCAAAGGGGGCUCGCAAGAGCUCUCGCCAUUGGAGGGGUCCGCGUCCGAUUAGCUAGUUGGUAGGGUAAUGGCCUACCAAGGCGACGAUCGGUAGCCGGCCUGAGAGGGUGAUCGGCCACACUGGAACUGAGACACGGUCCAG